GGCAGCAGCAAGCUGAUUACACAGGGAAAAGCUUCUAUCUAAAUACACAUAGCAUAACAAUCACCCCUGGAAAAACUACAUGGCUUACCAAAAGAGUUCUCUCUGUUCACUGUCCAUUAUCUGUUAGCUGAACUAGUUCAAAUGAAUAACAACCAUACAAACGCAUAUAUACACAAAUAUACAUAUGCUUCAAUGAAAAGCAGGCAUGCAGCUGAUAGCUCAGCAACCCUGAGCACAGAAUUUUGAAGAGGGAAUACACUAAAAUGGAAGAACAUAACUACAUGACAUCAUAAGAAAUCCUGAAUUAGAAGCGUAUAUUUGAAAGGUCAUGCAUCCUGAGCUGCCAACGGCUUAAAAACCAGAGGCAGAGGCCAGCUUUGCCAGCUCACUGCUUCUACUCAUCUUUCAUGAUACUAGCCAGGCUGAACAUAGUUCCAGGAUGAUAAUGAAAUUGGCUGGGCGUGCUGUUUAUAUUAGUUAGUAUGUAUUGCCUGUACUAAACCAAGUAUCAUGAGGUCAGCACUAUUUUGCCACUUUUCAGAAAGAAAAUAUGAACACUUCAAAACACAGUAAGCCUUUUUAAAAGUAUAUAUUUGAUUUUGAAAUAAUCAAAAUGUAUGUAGGGAUAUGACUGCAUCCUAAGAUUUAUGAUAAGUUCUGAUGAAUAAUAUUUUCUUUCUACAUGCAAGGCAAAGUUAAUAGUAACUAGAAAGUCUUUAUUUGGCAUAGCAUAGAUUUCUGUCGACCAAAACAACUCACUCUGGGAAACAUAAGCUUCUGACAACUUCAGAAGAGUUAAGUCACAGACAAAAGUUUAUUGG
Molecule: long non-coding RNA, 821 nt
Organism: Rhinopithecus roxellana (golden snub-nosed monkey)
Lineage: Eukaryota; Metazoa; Chordata; Mammalia; Primates; Cercopithecidae
Exons: 3
Source: RefSeq, a predicted model, not a curated record